This 429-nucleotide ribosomal RNA is filed under the name uncultured archaeon. Its description in RNAcentral is "bacterial SSU rRNA". It matches the Rfam family "Archaeal small subunit ribosomal RNA", at positions 474 to 903 of the family's 1478-position model. The record is from RNAcentral.
UACCAGCUCUCCGAGUGGUAGGGAUGAUUAUUGGGCUUAAAGCGUCCGUAGCCGGCUUAGCAAGUCUCCUGUUAAAUUCAGCGACCUAAUCGUUGAGCCGCGGGAGAUACUACUAGGCUAGGAGGCGGGAGAGGCCGACGGUAUUUCCGGGGUAGGGGUGAAAUCCUAUAAUCCCGGGAAGACCACCAGUGGCGAAGGCUGUCGGCUAGAACGCGCCCGACGGUGAGGGAUGAAAGCUGGGGGAGCGAACCGGAUUAGAUACCCGGGUAGUCCCAGCUGUAAACGAUGCAGGCUAGGUGUUGGGGUGGCUACGGGCCACUUCAGUGCCGCAGGAAAGCCAUUAAGCCCGCCGCCUGGGGAGUACGGCCGCAAGGCUGAAACUUAAAGGAAUUGGCGGGGGAGCACCACAAGGCGUGAAGCUUGCGGUUC